UGCGUAGGCGGUCCUAUAAGUCAGUUGUGAAAUACGGCAGCUUAACUGUCGAGGUGCAAUUGAUACUGCAGGACUUGAGUACAGACGAGGUAGGCGGAAUUGACGGUGUAGCGGUGAAAUGCUUAGAUAUCGUCAAGAACACCGAUAGCGAAGGCAGCUUACUAGACUGUAACUGACGCUGAGGCACGAAAGUGUGGGGAUCAAACAGGAUUAGAUACCCUGGUAGUCCACACUGUAAACGAUGAUUACUCGAUGUUGGCGAUACACAGCCAGCGUCUUAGCAAAAGCGAUAAGUAAUCCACCUGGGGAGUACGCCGGCAACGGUGAA
This 328-nucleotide ribosomal RNA is filed under the name uncultured bacterium. RNAcentral's name for it is "bacterial SSU rRNA". It matches the Rfam family "Bacterial small subunit ribosomal RNA", at positions 568 to 898 of the family's 1533-position model. The record is from RNAcentral.